CUACGGGGCGCAGCAGUGAGGAAUAUUGCACAAUGGGGGGAACCCUGAUGCAGCAACGCCGCGUGGAGGAUGACGCAUUUCGGUGUGUAAACUCCUUUUAUAUGUCAAGAAAAUGACGGUAGCAUAUGAAUAAGCACCGGCUAACUCCGUGCCAGCAGCCGCGGUAAUACGGAGGGUGCAAGCGUUACUCGGAAUCACUGGGCGUAAAGGACGCGUAGGCGGGCUUGUAAGUCAGGUGUGAAAUCCUACAGCUUAACUGUAGAACUGCACUUGAAACUACGAGCCUAGAGUAUGGGAGGGGCAGAUGGAAUUAGUGGUGUAGGGGUAAAAUCCGUAGAUAUCACUAGGAAUACCUAAAGCGAAGGCGAUCUGCUGGAACAUAACUGAUGCUAAGGCGUGAAAGCGUGGGGAGCAAACAGGAUUAGAUACCCUCGUAGUC
Molecule: ribosomal RNA, 439 nt
Filed under: uncultured bacterium
Lineage: Bacteria
Description: partial 16S ribosomal RNA
Rfam family: Bacterial small subunit ribosomal RNA
Source: RNAcentral